GAUGAACGCUGGCGGCGUGCCUAAUACAUGCAAGUCGAGCGAACAGACGAGGAGCUUGCUCCUCUGACGUUAGCGGCGGACGGGUGAGUAACACGUGGAUAACCUACCUAUAAGACUGGGAUAACUUCGGGAAACCGGAGCUAAUACCGGAUAAUAUAUUGAACCGCAUGGUUCAAUAGUGAAAGACGGUUUUGCUGUCACUUAUAGAUGGAUCCGCGCCGCAUUAGCUAGUUGGUAAGGUAACGGCUUACCAAGGCAACGAUGCGUAGCCGACCUGAGAGGGUGAUCGGCCACACUGGAACUGAGACACGGUCCAGACUCCUACGGGAGGCAGCAGUAGGGAAUCUUCCGCAGUGGGCGAAAGCUUGACGGAGCAACGCCGCGUGAGUGAUGAAGGUCUUCGGAUCGUAAAACUCUGUUAUUAGGGAAGAACAAAUGUGUAAGUAACUAUGCACGUCUUGACGGUACCUAAUCAGAAAGCCACGGCUAACUACGU
This 496-nucleotide ribosomal RNA is filed under the name uncultured bacterium. RNAcentral's name for it is "partial 16S ribosomal RNA". It matches the Rfam family "Bacterial small subunit ribosomal RNA", at positions 28 to 506 of the family's 1533-position model. The record is from RNAcentral.